AUAACACAAAAAUACAAAUUAAGAAAAAAGAAAGAAAGACAGUGAUCUAUCUUUGUCAUAUGAGACAAAAAAGAUGACAGUGGAAACAGCAAAACUAGCUACUUAGAACCGGAGAUGGUCCAAAAUGUAGCCUAAUAAAAAACGUACAAAAGAGGGAGACAAAAAAUUAAAAAGGAACCACAUACUUUUAUUAUGCUUUUGCUAGCUAUACGUUUGCCAUCUUCCCAUCGCUCUUAUCUCUACGCAAUCCUCAACCUUGGAGAAACCACGAACAACAACACAAGAUCUGUGUAUAUAUAUACACACAUAUACAUGCAUAUAUAGCCUCACAAUAACUAUACAUAUCAAGACUCUAUGGAGGCCGCCAUGGAUUAUAUAUUUUUACACCCUCUUAUCGUGCACCUGCAGCAGUUGAAGCUGCCAGCAUGAUCUGAGUUUACCUUCUUUAACGGUAAGAACAGAUCAUGUGGCUGCUUCACCUGUUGAACGGAAGCAUAUACAAACCCUAAUUCGCUUUCUCAUCCUCCUCUUCGUAUCUUCAUACAACCCUAGAAAAGAAAAGAAACAAGAGAGGAUGGUGGCAUGUGUUCAAGUGACAGUAAGGCGUUAUUCGUGGAAAUCAUUAUGCUGCGGAAUGGGAUGAAAACUGCAUGUGUUUUCCUUUAACAGAUCAACUAAAGUCAACCUUGUGAUCUAGUUCUUACCGAUAUAUAAAUGGAAUCAACUUGUUGGCCAACUAAGACUUCAUUCAGAGGAAAAUUGUAAAGUGAACCGCAAUUGACAGAUACGGUGUAUCAAAUAAAAAGGCAGAACGAACAUAUCUCUGGGAAGAUCCGUAUGUAUAUGUAAAUCUAUGACAUAACACUUUUAAAUUUCCUGACUUGAUAGAUUCUUACACAAAAUGCACGCUAUCUAUAUGGAUAUUGAACAUGUGCAUACAUGAUAUGGAAGUUAAUUAAGUUAAUUCAUUGCUAAACACUUCCAUUGCUGAAAUCAAAGCUUUUGGGGGAGAAGUUGCAUAUAUCGUGCUUUUUAGAUUAAUUCACAAGAGGUUUUCCUCUGUUGUUCAAUUUUUCUAAGUUAAAAUGUUGACUAUAUUAAAUUUAUUUAGUUGAAAUCAUUUAUGAAUUAUUAAGGUACUGAAUUAUAUUAAAGUUAAAUAAGAAGUUUAAUUAUCAUCUUUUCUUACCUUUUUUAUAUAUGUUAUUGGAAAAUUUGCUCAAAUAUCACUGAUCAUACCUUUUAUAUAUACAUGUGUGUGUGGACCAAAAUUGUGGGAAUAAAUGAUGAUUUUACAAAGAAAAAUAAAUAAAGUAAAAUAAAAUAGUUUCUUUGGUCUUGUUGGCUGACUUGAAUUUCUUCCAUGUGAAGGAAAAAUCUUGCUUUCAUUAUUUCCCUAUCCCUCUCACCGGUGAGGUGGGCCAAGACUUUAUUAUAUCGAUUAGAGAAAUUUAUCCUUUCAUAUAAAUUAAU
Long non-coding RNA from Vigna unguiculata (cowpea), 1473 nucleotides. RefSeq lists it as uncharacterized. Lineage: Eukaryota; Viridiplantae; Streptophyta; Magnoliopsida; Fabales; Fabaceae. The record is from RefSeq and is a predicted model, not a curated record.